Molecule: ribosomal RNA, 253 nt
Filed under: uncultured bacterium
Lineage: Bacteria
Description: partial 16S ribosomal RNA
Rfam family: Bacterial small subunit ribosomal RNA
Source: RNAcentral
UACGUAGGGUGCAAGCGUUGUCCGGAAUUAUUGGGCGUAAAGAGCUCGUAGGCGGUUUGUCGCGUCUGCUGUGAAAACUCGGGGCUUAACCCCGGGCCUGCAGUGGGUACGGGCAGACUAGAGUGCGGUAGGGGAGACUGGAAUUCCUGGUGUAGCGGUGAAAUGCGUAGAGAUCAGGAAGAACACCCGUGGCGCAAGCGGCCACCUGGCAGAGUUCUGACGCUGAGGCACGAAAGCGUGGAGAGCGAACCGG